Molecule: ribosomal RNA, 499 nt
Filed under: uncultured Glomeromycotina
Lineage: Eukaryota; Fungi; Glomeromycota
Description: partial small subunit ribosomal RNA
Rfam family: Eukaryotic small subunit ribosomal RNA
Source: RNAcentral
CCAAUAGCGUAUAUUAAAGUUGCUGCAGUUAAAAAGCUCGUAGUUGAAUUUCGGGACCAAUAUGUCGGUCGUGCUUCGGUACGUACUGGCAUUAUUGGUUUCUCCCUUCUGAAGAACCUUGAUGUCAUUAAUUUGGUGUCUUGGGGAUUCAGGACUGUUACUUUGAAAAAAUUAGAGUGUUUAAAGCAGGCUCGCGCUUGAAUACAUUAGCAUGGAAUAAUGAAAUAGGACGUUUGAUUCUAUUUUGUUGGUUUCUAGGAUCGACGUAAUGAUUAAUAGGGAUAGUUGGGGGCAUUAGUAUUCAAUUGUCAGAGGUGAAAUUCUUGGAUUUAUUGAAGACUAACUACUGCGAAAGCAUUUGCCAAGGAUGUUUUCAUUAAUCAAGAACGAAAGUUAGGGGAUCGAAGACGAUCAGAUACCGUCGUAGUCUUAACCAUAAACUAUGCCGACUAGGGAUCGGAUGAUGUUAAUUUUUUAAUGACUCAUUCGGCGCCUUACG